This is a long non-coding RNA of Amphimedon queenslandica, 149 nucleotides long. RefSeq lists it as uncharacterized. The record is from RefSeq and is a predicted model, not a curated record. The transcript is spliced from 2 exons. NCBI's taxonomy places the organism in Eukaryota, Metazoa, Porifera, Demospongiae, Haplosclerida, Niphatidae.
UGCUAUAAAGAAAAACUACUCACACAAGUCAUAUCUUGUGCAGGUUGAUAUGGGAGGAGUACCAGCAACACUGGUUAAUAUUGUGUCAAGACGUCAGCCAUUAGCAGUGGCAUAUUUAUGUGAUUAUUUAGAAACAACUAGUUUAAAUU